This 212-nucleotide long non-coding RNA is filed under the name Elaeis guineensis (African oil palm). RNAcentral's name for it is "long non-coding RNA (EGUI_LNC043441)". Lineage: Eukaryota; Viridiplantae; Streptophyta; Magnoliopsida; Arecales; Arecaceae. The record is from RNAcentral.
ACGAUCUGCGGCAAGAGGAGGCCAAACCGGUGGUCGACGGUGACCACCGGCGAUGGAAAAAUGACAAAAAAAGAAAAUUCUUCCGCAACAAAAUCCAGCGACUCCGGUCGUCGGCGAGCGUGCACAUCGGCACGGGAAGGAAGGAGGAGAAGAGAGGAAGAGGAGGAGGCUUACCUCCAUCGCCGGCGAAGCUUUUCCGGCGAGAAAUUGGA